GUGUGCAGGUAGUGAUGAAAUUUGUCCAUGACUGUCAUAUAUUAGACAUUUAUUUAUUUUUGUAUAUUUGCAUAUGUCCUUAUUCUGUCAUGAUUUGAUUUGUUUUUACAACUAAUUGAUGACAUUACCUUCUCAAUUAGGCAUAGAUCUAUGUUUAUGUGUAGGUUAGGCGCAUUGAGUACAACGUAUAACUCUCUCCCAAAUGAAUCUUCGCAACCAUUUGAGACUGCGAUUGAGAUGAAUUUGUGUAAGCUAUCACUCCUCAUAUCUCUCUCCCUUUGCAAUUUAUUUCCCAGGAAGAAGAGUGGGCUAGAAAUAGAAUGAUGCUCUAGAUGCACUUUUUGUGUAUGAGAAUCAUCCUUUAGUUCCAUCAAUUAUCUUACUAUACCAAUUGCAGUACCAUUCACCAAUGCAAGGAUUGCAUCCUUUUCAAAUGGACACAGAUACCAGGUCAGUGUAACAUGAUUUAUGCAAUUUAGCCCUUGAAUAAUUUCUGCUCUAUGUAUUCAUGCAAAGGCUGGUUUUAUAGUCUAUCACUUGUUGCAAUAAUGGAAUCAAUGGCUAUCUUUGGAUAUCUGAGAGGAACAUAUACAGAAGAGUAAUCCAUUCCCCACAUAAGGGGUUGGGAGACAUUAAUAAUAAUCAAGUGUUGUAAGUUUCGAGAUUUUGAUCAAUCGCACCUAAAGUUAGGCCUACAAGCACUUCUUCAGCCUUUGAUGUCAGUCGUGCUUAGGAGUGGACCAUAUGGAGGAUUUGUUUUUGUUUUUGUUUUUUGUAUUUUAAAUUUAUCAAGACCAUUUUCAGCUUAUUGUUGUAAAUAUUAUAAUUUUUUUUAUUGUGAAGUAAUAUAAUUUUUGUUUAAUAUUCAUUUUUAAUUGUAUUGCAACAUUUUUUAUGUUUCAAAUAUGAAAAAAAUAAUACAGGUUUCAA
Molecule: long non-coding RNA, 930 nt
Organism: Magnolia sinica
Lineage: Eukaryota; Viridiplantae; Streptophyta; Magnoliopsida; Magnoliales; Magnoliaceae
Exons: 2
Source: RefSeq, a predicted model, not a curated record